This is an RNA transcript of Gossypium arboreum, 1029 nucleotides long. RefSeq lists it as uncharacterized. Lineage: Eukaryota; Viridiplantae; Streptophyta; Magnoliopsida; Malvales; Malvaceae. The transcript has 2 exons. The record is from RefSeq and is a predicted model, not a curated record.
CUAAGAACUAGGAGAACAUAAAUAAUUGUUGUAGGCAUAGGACAACAUGAUUCCCCGUUAAACACGCCGAAUAUAGGUGUCUCCCAAAGUCGGUCACAGGAUUAGCAAAAUGGGGAAAAAAACGGAAAAGUAGCAAAUGCUAGCCUUAAAUUAAUCCAAAAUAUCAGUUUAUAACUAUAUUAUCACCUCCGUAAACUUUUUUCUACUCUUGAUAGGAACCCACCAUUUCUAUUAUUCUUGUUCCUUCCCUUACCUGUCAAGAUCAAAAGAAACUCAACUACCAAAACAAAACCACUCACCAGGCCACUACCUUCUGGAAUCUAUCUGUCUUGAGCCUACCAAAAAUCCAACAUGGAAGAUUACAACAGAUCAAGGUCAUAUGGCAAUGGAAUGAUGCAGCUGGACACUUACCAUGGACCACCUAGGCCUUCAGCUUCUUAUGACCUCAGGUGCCAUAGUGCUGCUGCCUAUGCACAGUCCCAGAUGGCUAACAACUACAACUCGGGGAACAACAGGGACUUCAAGUUGAAGAAAGGGAAGAGUACUUCAGCCUCAUCUUCUUCGAAUCCAUGGAGCUUUGGUGACCCUGAAUUCCAGAGGAAGAAAAGGGUUGCCAGCUACAAGAUGUACAGUGUGGAAGGUAAGGUCAAAGGGUCCUUGAGGAGAAGCUUUAGGUGGCUUAAAGAUAAGUACACACAAGUUGUCUAUGGAUGGUGGUGAUUUUGGUAGUUGGGCUCUUGUUCCCUGUUGCUCUCUUCUUUAUGUUUUUCUUGCUUGUAUUCAAGGGAGGUUUGAUUAGCUGUAAGCAUAGGCUUCUUCAGCAGUUGUUUUCAAGGAAUUUACGUCAUCUGCAUAUUGUAUUGUAUUUGGAGUAAGCAUUUGAUGCUUGGUUGCUGUAGACAAAUAUAUCUACUAUUAAGCCUUAUUUGAACUUUUAGGCUGGGAAAUGGGACUAGGAUAGGGGAAAAGAUUGCAGAUGAUGUUGGAUCUUAUCUUAUAAUGAACUUAUAGUAUUAUGAGUUUAGCAUA